This 28-nucleotide non-coding RNA is filed under the name Rattus norvegicus (Norway rat). Lineage: Eukaryota; Metazoa; Chordata; Mammalia; Rodentia; Muridae. The record is from RNAcentral.
UCUGUUGAGAGAGCUUUCAAUAGGGAGU